GUCUCCUUGUAAUUAACAAAAAUAAGGAGUCGGGCCUGCCCGGUGAUUUACUAAACGGCCGCGGUACUCUGACCGUGCAAAGGUAGCUUAAUGACAUGUUUAUUAAUUGUAGACUUGUGAAUGGUCUGACGAGGGAUUAACUGUCUCUGCUUAUGUGGGCAGAAUUUGACUUGUAGGUUAAAAGGCCUAGAUAUAACACCUAGACGAGAAGACCCUAACGAGCUUUUAUUACGGUUCCAGAUAUUGGUAAUGGGUUUUGGUUGGGGCAACAUGAGAACAUAAAAAAUUUCUUUUAUAGAAAAAGUGUGAUAUGAUCCGGUAGAUUUCGAGUAUAGGAAAAAGUUACCGUAGGGAUAACAGCGUUAUUUUUCUUGAGAGUCCAUAUCGAAAGAAGAGUUUGCGACCUCGAUGUUGGACUAGAAUAUCCUAGGGGUGCAGCAGCCCCUGAGGGUUGGUCUGUUCGACCAUAAAAAUUCU
This 477-nucleotide ribosomal RNA is filed under the name Petaloconchus cf. varians AM-2010. RNAcentral's name for it is "partial 16S ribosomal RNA". It matches the Rfam family "Bacterial large subunit ribosomal RNA", at positions 1817 to 2597 of the family's 2925-position model. Lineage: Eukaryota; Metazoa; Mollusca; Gastropoda; Littorinimorpha; Vermetidae. The record is from RNAcentral.